GGGGACAGAAGAGAGGUGGUGGGACAGAAGAGAGGUGGUGGGGACAGAAGAGAGGUGGCGGGGACAGAAGAGAGGUGGUGGGAUGGGAGAGAGGUGGCGGGGACAGAAGAGAGGUGGCGGGGAUGGGAGAGAGGUGGCGGGGACAGAAGAGAGGUGGUGGGGACAGAAGAGAGGUGGUGGGAUGGGAGAGAGGUGGCGGGGACAGAAGAGAGAUGGGGGGACGGGAGAGAGGUGGCGGGGACGGGAGAGAGGUGGCGGGGACAGAAGAGAGGUGGUGGGAUGGGAGAGAGGUGGCGGGGACGGGAGAGAGGUGGCGGGGACGGGAGAGAGGUGGUGGGGACCGA
This is a long non-coding RNA of Oncorhynchus tshawytscha (Chinook salmon), 344 nucleotides long. The record is from Ensembl. NCBI's taxonomy places the organism in Eukaryota, Metazoa, Chordata, Actinopteri, Salmoniformes, Salmonidae.